ACUGGAGUUUGACACCCCUGUAGGACAUAUUGGUGGGGACAUGUCCACACCAGUCCUUCAGGAAGUUACGCCUAUGGGUUCAACCAUUAUUGGGGCUCUUUGUUCAAAUACUGGUGUAUUUUCAUAAUUAAGGUCACAAUAAAGGAAGUUUCAGUGUGAGGAGAAAAGGACAUCUACAAAUGUUAAUUCUGUGGUUUCAUGUAUUUUUCACAAUAUUCACAUCCUUUGAACUUUUUUCACAUUGUCACAUUAGAAGCCCAAACUUUCACGUAUUUUAUGCGGAUUUCAUGUAUCAGACUCACAUGACAUGAUCCAAAUAAUAAAGUGGUUCUCAGUUCAUCUUUACAAUCAAUCGAUCAAUCAUCAAUCAAUCAAGUUUAUUCGUGUGACACAUUAUAGCAGCAAGGCGUUUUACAUAAUAAAUAAGCAACAUUUCAAAGUUAUAAAGAAUACACCAGACAGUCAACAGUUGAACAGACAUUGCAUUUUGAUGAGUGCCGUCGCCACAGUAACACACAUCAAAUAUGCUGGUAAACCUUUCAUCUGUCAUGGUUGAAAAGCAAUUAACUGCAAAUAAAAUACAAUUAGAAAUUUGUAGAGUGGUGUGCAGUAAAAAUGUAUUGCAAAUUUUUUGCCCAGGUCCCUCUUGAAAAUGAGAUCUAGAUCUCAACGGGGUUUACCUGAUUAAAUAAAGGAAACUGAAAAAUAUUCCACUGCUGCGGUUCCGGGUUUGGGGUUUGUUUCAUCCGUACAUGUGGAGACUGAAGUUUUUUCCAAUCUUUGCAAAAAAAAAAAAAAGAAAAAAAAGCACAAGUUCAUUAGCAGUAGAUGACAAACAUCUCUGAAUUUUAGUUUUCAAGUUUAGGCCUUCAGCUUGACCCAGCUUUGAUAGACAAGACCAGGUUUGAUAUGUGAAGCAGACCUCAGUUAAAGUCAUGACACAACAAUCGAGAUUGGAGAUUAAACACUAACAGAGCAUCUCAUAAAGCCUUUCAGAAAAGAGAUAAUUACACCAUCAGACAAAUAUAUUUGUGGUAAAUCCAUUAAAACUCAAGGGCUUAUGAGUUAUGUAGCAGCACAUAUUUCAGGAUAGUCAUGUUAUUAUUGUCACUUUAGGGGAAUUUUCCUUGCAGCAAGGUGGGAAUUUUUAAAACACAAACAGAAAGGCUGUUGUUGUGUUGUUGCUUACACAACAACAUUGACAAAACAGUAAAAAGUCUUUGCUGACAGGUGAUCCGACUGUGUCUCCAAUUAAGCAGCUUCAAGUUGUUGUUUUUUUUUUUUAGAAACUCUGAUGUUGGAAUCAGACUUUGAUAUACUGUGACUUUUAUAGGUCACCAUCAGCUAACACUUUCAGCUCUUCUCCUUUACUUACCGGAGUUGACUCUUCUGUUAGUACCAUUUCUCUUCAGUCCUUCACUUUUCAUGUUUGAAAAAAGGGGGAGCGAGUUAAACAUUUGUAUCAAAAACUCAUUUUGAGCUUAAAGUCUUUCACAUGACCAGUAUUUCAGUGUAUCUGAAGAGAGCGAAGUGUCAGAAGAAUGCUUCAGUUGUUAGCUUGCCCGCUCUCAGCACACGUCAACACCCCAGGCACACACACACCCACGCACACACACACACACGCCCACACACAGGUUGAUCAGCCUGCCGCUGGCCACGUCUCGGUCACACGCUCCCUUCCUGCCUGUGUGGAACGUGGGAGCUGCCGUGGUCCCAGGCUUCCCACACUUCAGCAUUAAUGACUCCAAGGCAGGCUGCACAAAGGAAGUGUGCCCCGUUGAACAAAGACCGAGUGACCAACCCACCCUUUAAACCACACACACACACACACACACACACACACGCACCAAGGAAGGCAAGGUUGUCAACAGAGCUUCCAGGCACACCAUCUGGAUGGAUCGAGUGCUUUUGUCGGUCAAUCAAGCAUGAGAGGCGCUCACCGUGAGAACUGGAGAGGCUGAAAUAGAGACGAGAAGUUAAAUGAGAAGAUCAAGUGUGUGUGUGAGCUGAGAAGCCUUCUAAUUUGCUUCAUCAAGAUGGUUUUUAGAAAUAAAUGUAGGAAAAAUUGGGCGUUUUUCUGAUUUGUAAAUAAUUGCUUUGCUAGAGGUCAAAUAAUCAACUAAACACCAAGAAGUUACUAUUUUAAAAACUUAGCAUGUCAUUCUUUACUAAAUAGACACUUGUAAAACAAAAUACACUGAGGAAAAAGUUUGUCCUCCACAUUCCCACCAAACAUCCUCCCAUAAUAAAGCAUCAUGGGAGCCACAAGAGGUUCCUGAAGGGCCCCUCCCAGCUGUUUCCUUCAGAUUGGGGCCUUUGUUUAUCAUCGUUCCAACUAAUUUAUUCACUUUCUAUUGUCACUGCGUUGCUUUUGUGAUUGGUCAAACGCGGUGAGAACCAGCAUGGCAUUAAAUGAGUGGGAAAGUUGGCGUGAAGAAGUAUUUAAAGGAGGAAAACCUUGUUGGUCAAAAUCAUAACCUUGAAAACCUCUUGAAGGCCCUGAGUGAGCGACCGUCAUGAGGAUCAGCGCACGGCCUUGUGUAAGAUGAGCCUUUUGGAAAGGAAGCACACAAACAAAGCAGCUCAGCUCAGCUCAGCUCUGGAGAGCCAGCUCUGUGCGGGGAUGAGCAGUCGGGGACGCCUGGGACAGGCUCCACUGAAACACUCUUCAUUUUCCAGAACGGCUUCACCCGAGCCUGCAGGGAAGUCAUGAGGCUGCUCCCUUUUCCCCCUGCUGAGGACGUGAUGGCGCUGUGCUGCCAGUCAUGAAUGGACAAACUGAUGGAUUAUGUAAAAAAUAUUUUAAAAAAUGGUGAUUUUGUUUGGAGCGUCCUUGAAGAUGUUUCACUCAGGGGAAAAAAAACCUUAUUUUUUAAAAAAUAUUAUUUUUAUUUAGGUUUAUUCACCUUAUUAGGUUUAAAUUGUGAAAAGCAUAAAAUAAAAUAAAACUCUGUGACUUUAGUGGUUCACAAAUGUGCAUUCUUUGUCUUAAGCGUCCUUUAAUGUGGACCGCGUCAUUAAGAUUGUUUGAUUUAAACUGAAAGCCAUAUUCUUUUGAUUAAAAGGGUAAUUUUUAUUUUACAGAAUGUUUCGAGACGGUGUUUAUAGUGUAUGAGACACGUUUUUGCCAAAACCCCCCAAAAAGAUGCAAAAUGAGCCAUCAUGUGCAGUUCUGUCUUUGUACUCGUUAUGGAGCGCUAGCUUUAAUCUGUUUAAGGUUAUCUUGAGCAGCUAAUUCUGAAGGUAAAGUUAAGAUUCACAUUUUUAUUUUUCCCAGAUGUCAUAUUUGACCUCAUCAUGAAUGUUGGAGUGUGUCGCCCUCUAGAGGUAGAAAUAGAGAAGUGACGUUGGGAUUCUAGUUUGGCAAAGUGUCUUGAUAACGUUAGCUUUUGAAAUGGCGCUAAAGUGAAUUAAAAUGAGUGGAAACGCCUCAGUGUGGUUUUCCCAGCUGUUGACUACCUACAGAGAAAACUACUUCUCAGUUGUGAUUAUUUGCAACAACUUGAUUGUCAGACGUAUAAAAAGACUUUCACUAACUGGACUUUUUUUUUUUAUGGUGGUACAAAUAGGAGGAGUAAAUACGUAAGGUGUAUUAAUUUAAAUAAAUGUGAUCCCAUCAACGUUACUGAACGUAAUGAUGGUUUGUCCACAUCCGUAAAUUAUUUCAGAUUAUGUUUAGGAGUUAUAAGUAAAUGUAGAAUACUGCGAAGAACUUCAAAUGAUCUUUCUACAGCAAUAAGCCACCAGGAGAGCAAAACAAAACACCCAGAGCCUAAAUAAAUAUUCAUUACUUCUGGAAUGUUUCUACAUUUUGUCACAACUGCAAACUUUAAUGUGUUUAAUUUGCAAUUUGAGGGAGAGAGAGAGAAAAACGUCUGUUCCACGUCACAAUUAAUUCCUUUACAAGUCUGAUAAAUGUGUGCAAAACGAACUCAGUCCAUCAUGAGUCAAUGCAAGAUGAAUAGAGUCAGUGGUUCUCAAGUUUGGCCGCACAGAUUCUCCCAUUCAUUAGAGGCCGCACUUUGACUGGGCCGUUAUGACCCAAGUUAGUGUUUGACAACACAUUUUGUAUGUGGGCCAAAAAGUUUAUUUUGGACUCAUCUGACUAGAGCAUCUCCUACCUUCUUCCAAAUAAAACACUGCUGACCUUAAACAAUGAUUUUCUUCUGGUCGCUCUUCCUUAAAGUAUUUGUUGAGUUCAUUACCAACACUUGUCCUAUCAGCAGCUCCCCCCACAUGAGCAGUGGAUCUCUGGAGAUCUAAAGAGGUAUCAUGUGUCUUCUGACAAAAAGUGAAAAGGUUUAAGGUCCAUGAAUAUUUGUGCAGUGCACUAUAUGCGGUGACAUAGCUCCGGUAUGAAAGGAUUUCUUUCUAAAUGUGCAAACAGCAGCCAAAACAGAAGAGGUUACCCUUGAAUCAGACUGAAAGUAUUACAGCUUUAUUAAUUAUACGCUAAAUUCAAAAAAAGCAGACAUUCAGCAACAGUUUAAACAUUGUAGCAUUGGGAAAAGCAAAUCAAUGAUGAACUGGGGAAAGUGUACACCAUGCAUUUAGAUCUGAAGAA
Xiphophorus hellerii (green swordtail) is the source of this 4564-nucleotide long non-coding RNA. RefSeq lists it as uncharacterized. The record is from RefSeq and is a predicted model, not a curated record. The transcript is spliced from 2 exons. NCBI's taxonomy places the organism in Eukaryota, Metazoa, Chordata, Actinopteri, Cyprinodontiformes, Poeciliidae.